This 408-nucleotide ribosomal RNA is filed under the name uncultured bacterium. Its description in RNAcentral is "partial 16S ribosomal RNA". It matches the Rfam family "Bacterial small subunit ribosomal RNA", at positions 28 to 526 of the family's 1533-position model. The record is from RNAcentral.
GACGAACGCUGGCGGCGUGCCUAAUACAUGCAAGUAGAACGCACUUGCGAAUGGGUGAGUAACGCGUAGCUAACUUGCCUUAUAGCGUGGGGUAACUAUUGGAAACGUUAGCUAAUACCGCAUACUGUGAUAGGGACCUCCUGUGUGUUAGCUAGUUGGUGAGGUAAACGCCCACCAAGGCGACGAUACAGAGCCGGGCUGAGAGGGUGAACGGGCACACUUGGAAUGAGAAACGGGCCAGAGUCCUACGGGAGGAGGCAGUAGGGAAAUUUCGGCAAUGGGCGGAAGUCUGACCGAGCAACGCCGCGGGAGUGAAGAAGGGUUUCGGAUCGUAAAGCUCUGUUGUUAGGGAAGCGGUAACUAACCAGAAAGGGACGGCUAACUACGUGCCAGCAGCCGCGGUAAUUC